UUUUUUUUUUCUUGGUACACAUGGGACUCAGCACCUUUAUAAACCAAGCCAAACCACAUAACAUAUAUGUGUGGGGAUUUCUCCUUGACUUGAAUACUGGGAAAGCCAGAACAAACCAGAUGUGCUUUGCUAAAGACUGUGUAGAAUCUGAAACUUUUGGCUUUCCUGAACCCAGGCAAGCACUUGAAAAUGGACUCCAGGGUGCCUGGGUGGUUCAGCAGUCAAGCGUCUGCCUUCGGCUCAGGUCGUGAUCCCAGAAUCCUGGGAUCGAGUUCUGCAUCAGGCUCCCUGUGGGAAGCCUACUUCUCCCUCUGCCUAAGUCUCUGCCUCUCUCUGUGUGUCUUAAAUAAAUAAAUAAAUAAAUCAUAAAUAAAUAAAUAAAUAAAUAAAUAGAUUCUUUUAAAAAAGAAAGAAAAUGGACCCCAAAUGUCUUUGAUACACUACUGUUUCAUAUUCUAGCCAAAAUCUCAUUUAUUCACUUACAGCUAUAUGAAGAUACUCAGUAUCUUGCUUUUGGUAAUACAAUAAAUGUCAUUUUCCAUAACAUUGUUAUUUGCCAUAAAGGCAAGCCUAAUGACCUUGAGAAAGAGUAUAUUCAAGGAUACAGCUCUGGAUUUAACAUUCCAUGUGGUUUUAACCCAUAAUGACUUCCAAAUAUUUGAUUAAUUGCCCAUAUUUUUAUCUAAUUCAAGAAUGAAGCUUAUUUUAAAAAGAAAAUGAUAUAAGAAAUGAAGUGUAUUUGUAAAGUUUUGAGCUUCUGUCUUUCACAUGCAUUAGGUUUAUCAAAGGUAUCAGGACUCGCAAGUUCAGGUUAUUCACAGUUUUUAUGAAGCAUAUUGAGACUUGACAGAUGGUACGUUUUAUUGCUGACAUCAUUUGAGCUUCGAAAAAAAGUGUUUAGAAGGCUGCUUAUUCAUAUAGAGUUCAUAUGGAAAUUUCUGGCAAAAACUGGACUAUAGUUGUAUUUCUAUAUCUAUCUGUUGAUUGAUCUUUCAUGUUUGGGUUUUGGUUUUGGUUUUGUUUUUUUUGCACCUUAGGAUUUCAGUUAUUUUUUUGUAAAUCUGUUAAUCUCUUAUAGUUCACUUGCCUCCUGCUAAAGAUUUUGUCCUGUUGGUGGGUGUUCUAACCAGUUGGCUGAGUUGGGCCAUUCCAGGAUAUACCAAAGUCUGUAGCCUUGCUCUCAAGGCCAGGUCUAUAAAUAAUCCUUCAGUUUUCACAUAGCACAGUGAAUAUGGUGAAGGAGGCAGGAAGGUGGAAGAUUUCUGAGAUGUUCAGCAAGCCAUCCUUGGGCAUUCAGCCUCAUCUAAAAACUUCCCCAUUGGAAUCUGGGCCUCCCAUUGAGUAGUUGAGGUUAAACUGUUCAGACUCCUAGCCAUGGUGAAAGAGAAGGCCGGGUUCCAGGGUUUGUAAAAGGAACCAGAUGUUAUUUUAAUGAAAGGAGAGAAUUAUAGUCCAGCUCCCCGUGAUGGUUUCUACUAGCCUUGAUAUCAUUUCUUGUUGAAAGAAAUGGAAAUCUUCAUAACAGAUUAGGAGAGCUGCUUCAGUGGUAUAUCAAAGCAGCAGAUUUGGGGCAGUGAAGGAAUUUCCACACCAAAUGCAUGAGACACUGAGUGUUUCUUGGUCCAUGUCCAUAUCCAUGUGGUAUAUUUAUAAGAAUCAUGUGUGAAUGUGCACGCUUGCCUCGAAUCGUAUGAAGUCUGUACCCAGUAUAUACAGUUGUCAGAAUAAAUUAAAAUUGCUUUCUCAAUUACAUCAAACAUCAGUGUGGUAAAGCACAAUAAUGAUAGCAAUUUAGCCACAAAUGUUUCCAGCAGACCACACGCUGGACUUCUUUCAAGUGUACAAAUAAAUCAAAUCACUACAGUAGAGUUUAGGGAUAGCUACACUAUUUGUGUGUACCAGAAACUAUUUGGAAGAUUAUUACAAAUGUGAUAUUUAACAAAGGAUUACUCCUUCACUGUGGAUACUGGUUAGGACAGCCAGGUUCCUCCAUAGUUAGUGUUGCAGCUGAAAGAUACCAAUUAUAUUACCUCCUAAGAUGUUGAUGUACCAAGAGGCUCCUCAACUUGGUAAAACUUCAAAACUAAAAUUUAUUCAUGUUUCUUGCCCAUUUAACUGGAUUAUUUGUUUCUUGUGUGUUGAGUUCUUUCAGUUCUUUAUAUAUUUUGGAUAUUAACGUUUUAUCAGAUAUGUCAUUUGCAAAUAUCUCCUCCCAUUCCAUAGGUUGCCUUUUAGUUUUGUUGAUUAUUUCCUUCUCUGUCCAGAAGCUUUUUAAUUUUGAUGAAGUCCCAACAGUUUAUUUUUGCUUUUAUUUCCCCUACCUGAGGAGAUGUAUCUAAAAAAAUGUUGCUAUGGCCAAUGUCAGAGACUUCAUUGCUGGUGCUCUCUUCUAGAGUUUUUAUGGUUUCAGGUCUCACAUUUAGGUUCUUAAUCCAUUUUUAGAUUAUUUUUGUAAUCUAAAAUAAGUCAAAGAAAGUGGUCCAGUUUCAUUCUUUCAUACGUAGCUGUCCUGUUCCCAACAUUUGUUGAAAAGACUGUCUUUUUCCCAUCAUAUAUAUUCUUUACUCCUUUGUUGAAGAUUAAUUUACCAUAUAAUUGUGGGUUUAUUUCCGGGUCUUCUAUCCUGUUCCAUUGAUCCACGUACCUAUUUUUGUGUCAGUACCAUACUGUUUUCAUUACUACAGCUUUGUAACAUAACUUGAAAUCUGGAAUUGUAACACUUUCAGUUUUGUUUUUCAAGAUUGCUUUGGUUAGUUAGGGUAUUUUGUGGUUUAAUACAAGUUUUAGAAUUAUUUGUUCAAAAUAUUCAGAUGGCCAAAAGACACAUGAAAAGAUGCUCAACAUCACUCAACACCAGGGAAAUGUAAUAAUAAUAAAAAUGAGAUAUAACCUCACAUUUCUCAGAAUGGCUAAAAUCAACAAUAUCAGAAACAUCAGGUGUUGGUAAAGUUGUGGAGAAAGGGGAAUUCUCUUCACUGCUAGUGGAAAUGCAAACUGAUGCAGCCACUCUGGAGGACAGUAUGGAGGUUCCUCAAAAGGUUAAAAAUAGAACUAUCCUACAAUCCAACAAUCACACUACUGGGUAUUUACCCAAAAAAUACAAAAACACCAAUUCAGUGGUGCACUGAAUAUAUGCACUCCAAUGUUUAUUGCAGUAUUAUUUAUAAUAGCCAAACUAUGGAAGCAGUCCUAGUGUCUAUUCAUAGAUGUAUGGAUAAAGAAGAUGUGCCAUAUGUAUAUAUAUGUAUAUAUAUAUAUAUAUAUAUAUAUACAUACACACACAUAUAUGUAUAUAUAUACACAUAUAUGUAUAUAUACACACACAUUUAUAAUUAUUCCAUUAUACAAUUGAAUAUUUCAUUAUAUAUGUAUAUAUCAUUGUAUGCACAUUAUACAUAUAUGAAUAUUAUUCAGCCAAAGAAAGAAAUGAAAUCACGCUAUUUGCAACAACAUCAAUGGAACUAGUGUAUAUUAUCCUAAGUGAAAUAAGUCAGUCAGAGAAAGACAAACACCUUAUGAUCUCACUCAUGUGGAAUUUAAGAAACAACACAAAUGAGGAAAGCAAAAAAGAGAGAGGCAAAUCAAGAAACAGACUUUUAACUAUUGAGAACACACGGAUGGGCACCAGAGGGGAAGUGGGUGGGGGUAUGGGUGAAAUAGGUAACGGGGAUAAAGGAGAACACCUGUUGUGUUGAGCACUGGGUGUUGUAUGGAAGUGUUGGAUCAUUAUAUUGUACAUCUGAAACUAAUAUUACACUGUAUGUUAACUAACUGGAAUUAAAAUUUUAAGACUUAAUGAAAUAAAAAUAAAUAAAAUGUAGCUAUCUACACAAAAUCAAGAUGAUUAAAAUAACAGAGAAAAAUGCAUGAGAGAUGUAGAUACAGAGCACUAAAUAAAUAUGCCAAGAAAAGGUUAUUCUGGAAAAUACCCUGUAAAUGCAUCAAUCUAACUUGUGAAGUAAAUUUAAUAUUCAAAAUGGAUUUGAGCACAAUUAUUAUCUUAUACUAGUUGGUUUCAGAGAUGUCUGUACAUAGACAUGAAUACAUUUAAGAUAUUUUAGUGAUGUUAAAAUAUGAAAUGAAUGAAAUUGAAUAAAGAGCAAUAUCACUUGUAGUCCUUGUUUUACUGUGCAAAUAUACUUUAUGUUAAAAAGUGACUUCGUUAUUCUAACAACCUAUUACUAUGAUCCAAAGUAUGAAAUAUAUUUUCUGAUUUUGGUAAGAGCAAGACCAUAUUUUGUCGACAUAAAGCUCACAACAUGGCAUUCACGGCUCAGGUAAGCAGUGGGAUACUACUAGGUUAUGGGGUAUCAUUGUGUAUGAGAGCUCUCUACCAGCAGAAAAGAAGAAACUGGAUCUGUCAGGACAUUUUUCUUGAGGCAUGACGCAAAUAAUUCUCUAUCAAGCCUAAUAUUUAGUUAUGCAGCUGCAGAGAAGGUCUGAUCUAGGAUUUGUGCCAAAUGUUAUAUUCUAUAUAGGAAAAUGGGACAAAUCUGCAAAAUUCUAGCUGGGGCUGAAAUUAGUAAUUUAUUUCUCAAUUAUUCAAUUAGAUUUAAUUUGAUAAUUCCUAUUAAAUUCAGAAUGACAUUUAAAAAGAGUUUUGGUACUUCCAAUCUUUUUUUUUUUCUAAUGUGAGGCAGAAAGAUGGCUGCCUAUGUUUCUGAACUUGAUGGACUUGAUGGACACAAGUACCAUCACACACUCAUGCAUAGAACUGCAUAAAACAAAGUUUAAUUAACAUGUACUUUCCCUUUGUUUCCUGAGCUCAUGGGGUUGAUAUGGGAUGAAUAUGUGCCUUUUCUCUUUCAGUAGAUAUUCCUUCUUGAGAGGAUAAGGAGAAUGGGUAGACUUACUGAAAGAGUAAUGCACGGUCUUCUGUUGUAUUAUCUUUGUGUGACAUAAAACCCCAUGGCAUGUGACACUAGAAAAGGUCAUGAUGACAAGCUGAUCGCUGCAGUUCUGGAGGAUUCUGUAUUAUGACUGUGCAUGACUCUACCUUCUCACUGCAAAAUGCCUGCAACAACAAAAUGUAUGUGUUCCUUUGCAUUUUCAGAAACACUUCAGAAAAGUUUCACUUGCCCCCAAACUUCUUUCAGCCAUUCUUGGGGACCAUUGCUCAUUUCUUGAUUGAGUACAUUUGAACAAGAAAUUUACCAUCCAUCUGAGCACUGGUUAGUACAACAUCAAUAAUUAUGUAUUAUUGAUAAUGAUGAAAGAUAAAGAAAAGUAAAACACUAAAAGUGCCACAGCUCUUUCCUUCAGAAUAGAUAACAUUCAAUUACAAAACAUUUAUACAGCAGUUAAAAUGCUUAAAGCACUGAGGCAUAUCAAAAGCAAACAGAUUUUGCCCUCCUGUAGAGUUAUCUUAAUGGAAAAGAUCAGGGGACAACUGAUCACUCACCAAUACGACUGAAAGAGAAGUAAAAGCCUUGGCCCCUGGAUUAGCAAAGGUACUCAUUGUGUCUAAGCACAGAAAGGGGGAGUCCUUGGCUGGGACUUUUCGUGUCACACAAAAGCCAAUGCACUUUCUAAGGGGGCCCUAGUCCGGAAACAAGGUCCAUAAGUGCCCUCGGAUCCCUGCCCAGUGGGGAUGGAGAGGAUUGCAUACUAAUGAGUGGAAUCAUAUACUGAAAUGGAAAGAUAUAGAUGAGCCAAUUAGACAGUCUGUCACCAUGGCAAAGUCUGCUCAUGAUAAAUAAGAGCAAUUUUCUAUUUUCUCUAAUCUAUCUCAAAUGUCAAAGCUCUCACCAAGUUCUGAGGGCUGUUUCUUGUGUUUGUGUUCAGUUCCCGGCUUAGAGGGGUGGUGUGCUGAAAUGAAGAGGGCUAUCUGAAGCUCACUCUGCUAUGUAUUAGCGGUGUGACAUUGGCCAUGGCAUGUGCUUUAUCAGAGGUUCUUCUGUUCAUCUAUAAAAUGAGGACGGGUAUGCCCACUUUGAAGGAUGGUUGAAAAGAUGAAAGCAAACUAUAUAUGUAGAAGUUUUAUGUCAGGACUACUCUGAAGGAAACACGUUCAAUAAUUUUCAAUUAUCCAAAUUUCCUGCCUUUAAAAAUGCAGGAAUAAAACUGAAAAGGCAGUACAAAAACUUUAAAGACACUACACAGAACGGAGGAGCUCUACCAAAAAGAAGUGGAAGGAUGGCAUGUACAUAUUUCUAGCAAGGAGGAGCAUUUCCAAAUGGAAGAAAUUCACUAAAAGGUUGUUUCCACAUACAAUUUGUCUUCAAAAAAAAAAAACCAAAGAUAUUUCUAUUAACUCAAAUGAUCUUCUAAAAGCAGGGGGAAAGAGAGGAAACUAUGAAAAGUGAUCACAAAAAAGUUAUCUGUAGCAAUUCAGGCAGAGCCAACAAAGCAUCCUUCUCAAAGUGUGGGAAUUACACUAUAGGAAUAUCUAAUGGCUUAAUUAAUCACAAACUUCAGUAAUAUGAUGGUGGGCUGCUAAUGGGAGCUUCUCCAGAGCUUAUCUGGCAUGUUGGAACAACAAGAGAGGUAGGGCUGGGUAAUUUCUAUCCCCAUCUCCAAAGGAUAUUCAGCAUUAGGAGCAGCCCAGGAUCUGACUUCUGUUGGCUGGAGAAAAGUGAAGACAAAAUAACUCACACAUGAAAAUAAGCCCAUGUCAGAAGUUGCUUCACUAUGAAGUGGAAAUAAUUCUUGCUAAUCUGGUUAUGGUUUCACUCCUGAAUAAACCUUUUUACAAGUACCUGAUCUAGAAAGGUCUUCUAUCAAAGGGUAUGACAUAAAUCAAAAAGUUCCCAGCAUGGAACUGUUUAUAUAAUUAUAACACAAGACAAGGUUAUGGAAAAUAUUGGAAAAACAAGUGAAACAUCAACACUUAACCAGAAAAGGUAGUUACUGAGCCAAAGAAUCAUUUAAACAAAAUACACAACAAUGAAUAAAAAUAAUGAAAGGAAACAUGUAGAGAACUUCGAGCAGGUAAAGGCUCAGUGCAGACAAGGAGAUGGAAUACAAGCUAUUUAAAAGCAAAGAAAAGGAAGGGAUAUUUUUUUUAAAUCACAAACUGUCAUGUUGUAAAUAGCACAAGGGAAGUAGACAUUGUCCUUAACAUGUAGGAUUAGAUUAGGAAAAUAGUCUAAGUAAGUAGGUAGGUAGAUAGAUAGAUAGAUAGACAGACAGACAGAUAAUUAAAAAGGACUCAGAGCAGAUAAGGAAGAAAAGAAGAUCCAAAAUCCACAUAACUGGUGUGGAUCUUUUGGAAGAUCCAAAAUCCACAUAACUGGUGUGCCUGAGUAAGAAAAACAUAUGAAUGAACUAAAAAGUAUUAAAUAUGUUAUUUAGGAUGUAAUGCAGAAAUAUCAGGAUAAGAAGACUUGAAUAUACACAUUAAAAUGGUUAUAUUGUACCAAGAAUAUUUGAGAGAAAAGUCAAGAACCUUAUCUCUAUUAAGAUUUUACACGACUUUUGAAGAUAAAUAUUUUUUCUUUGUAAUUGGGUGAAAAAAAGGAAUACCAGAAAGUCACUUAAAAGAGGAAAGUAAAUCACAAUUAUACUCAUCUUCAUUUCACAAUGACAUCCCACAUUUGAAGAUAGUGGGACAAUGUAAAAUAUUCAUGGAAAUAAAAUGUUAUACCCAAGCAAAAUAGCAUUAAAUUAUAAAGACUUCAGAGCACAUUUUCAAAUGGAAACAUAGUCAGAAAUUACAGUUGCUGUGAAAUUGUUCUGACAAUUAGGAAAAAAAUAGCUAAUGGAAAAACUGAAUGAAGACUAUUAAUAUUGAACUCUACUUAAUGAUGUGUUGGCUGAACUGCUUAAGAAUCUACUGAAACCUGCAAAUUAUUCUGAAAUGCAUCAAGAAAUAAGAUGGAUAGAUGGUAGAGGAAUCGCUAAAGGGAUAGUCAGAUGAUUAAGCAUAGAUAGCAAAUAUCAAUUGUAGAAUCUAGAUAAUGGUUAAAAUGUGUUCACUAUACAACUAUUUUAAUUUUUCUAUAUGUUUAAAAAUGUUCAUAAUAAAAUGAUGGGAAGAUGAAUCAAGAAAUUGAGGGAAAAGCAUUGGCUUGGUAUUAGUUCAUUUAUGGGAUUAAGAGUAAAGCUGGGAAUUAUAGAAAUCAAUGUUUUACAUCAUGGCAAUUUAAAAUUGCUAUAACAAAAAAUAAUAGGAGAGAGGAGAUAGGAAGUAGAGUGAUGUUUAUAAUCAGGGAUCAAAUACAGAUCCUUUAAUGGUGAUAUAUUAAUCAAGAUAUAAAUGUAAACACUCGAGGAACCAGGAUAAAUAUAAUCAAGUAAAAUUGAUGGAUGGAAUUCUUAAGAUACUUCAUAAUUUCUUCACAAGUCAUUGUGGAGGGGUGAUACUGUCUUUAGACACACAAACAAAGACCAAGUACAUCUCAUAAAUGUAUAAUUACAGAGUUAGCCAUUGUAAGAACUAAAAACAGUUCAUCAGGAUUCUGUAACUAAAAAGAACUAAACACACACCAAAAACAAAGGGGGAAGGUGGAUAAAAGAAACCAUAUAAAGAAAAGCCUAACAUGCAAUAUGAUAGAAUACAAAAUGUAGAUUUGCUAACCUUACUCCCAUAUUGGAUCACAAAUUUAAUUAUGUACUAUUUUGGUGAAUUUUAAAGUGAUUGAAAGUACUGAAUAUUAAAAAUAUGGAAAGGCAUAUCAGGCAAAUGCAAAAAAGGGAAAAUAACUGGUCAUAUUCUCAAGUAACAGACAAAAUAGGGUAGUGAGCGUUACUGUGACAAAGAAUGGCCCUUUAUGAUGGCAAAGGAUAUAAUCUGCAACAAACAUAUAGAGGUAUGAAUAUCAAUACAUCGUGUAAAUAUCACAGUCAAAUUCAUGUAAGAAAAAAAGACAGCAAUGUUAGUAGCAGAUUUUAAUUUACCUUUCUCAGCCCAUGAUUGAUCAAAUAUACAUAAAAUGAUAAUGAAGUUUCACACAACACAGUGAAUAAGUUAGAUCUUAUUCACUUAGAAUAAGUAUGUAAUUUAUUGAAUCCCAUAACCUGAAGAUAGAUAAUCUGUCCUCCUCUCCAUCAUCCACAGAAAAACACUGCCAAUUUUGAAGACACAUCAGACAUUAAAUUUCCGCAAGUAGAAAUGGUAUAGAAGAGAGUAGUCUCAGAACUUGGUACAGAACUGCAACUAAAUAGGAUUUCCCAGUUUUAAUUUUAAGUUACCACAGAAACCAAAGCAGACAUUGGAGAACAUCCAAAAAACAAGGACACUUGUGAUAAGCCCUGGGUGUCAGAUAUAAGGGAUGAAUCACUGAAUUCUAUUCUUGAAACCAAAGUUACCCUAUUGGUUAACUAACUUAAAUUUAAAUAAAAACUUGAAAUAAAACAGAAACCCAAACAGUUAAGAAAAAGUAAUGGUAAUGGGUAUCGUUCAUUUUGGAACCUACGUGAUAUACCAAAAACACUUGGAAGAAAUUUUAAAACCUUGCACACUUAAAUCAAUAACAAGAAAGAAAGGAAAUAAAUGAGUUAAGAAUCCAAUGAAAAAGUCAGAAAAAAAGAUGAAUAAAAUACAGAUAAAGCAAAAAAGAGAAAGCUAGCGAAAAAUAAAUACUCAAGAAUCAAUGUAUUCAAAGCACACUGAUGUUAGGACUAUUGCACAGAUCUAAAGUUUUAAAAUAAUUAAUAAAAUAGAAAAAAUGGUUCAGCUAAUCGGGAAAAGAAGGACAAGACACACAAAAUUAACAAUGGCAGUGGGGAAUGAGCUACAGAGAGUGGCAAGAUCGAAUGUGUCCAAUGUGUUGAGAGAAGGACAUUAGAACAACGUCUACUAAAAUGGAGAAGGGGCUUAGCAUUGCUCGCACCCAGAAUAAUUGCACAACUGAAAAAUCCAUGAGAAUCAAUUGAAAAACCAUUACAAACGGUAAAGAUACUCUGUGGAGUUAAAAAAAAAAGGGGGGGUGGGGGUGCGGUGACAGGGUGACAGGAGGCUGCCUAAGUACAUACAACCACUCCUCUGAAGCCAGGAUCCUAUUCACAUUCACGACAGGGACAAGAACAAAGGUAACGAAUAUGUAUGAACCCCCAAAGACAUACUGAAUUGCUUCUCAGAUAUUCAAGAGGACAUUUGGAUAAGUAGAAUGGCAGGCCCUAGUUUAGAUGAGAACACAAUAUCCCAAGAGGGGCAAUUCUUGAAUGAAUCUAUACAUUGCAGACCACACUAACGAAAUACCAAACACAUUUUUUUUUUCCAGAUAGAUAGAAGAUCUAAUUUUAAAACAAUCAUGCAAAAACAGCCAGGAAAAAAUCUUCAAAAAAUGAGUAAAUAAGGCAGAAAUAAAUCUGCCAGAUAUAUAAAUGCAUUUCAAGGGUGUAGCAGGGUCUGUGAAUAAAGAGAAACAUGGAACAAAAAGGGGAGGCCAGGAAAAAAUAUAUAUAUAUAUAAAUUUGUAACAUGUGAUAAAAAUGGUGCUGUCUGUCAUUAGAAAGAAAAAAAUCAGUCAAUAAAUGGUGUUGAGGCCCCAUUUUUUUUCCAUACAAAAAAUGGAAACCAUAUCCCUACCUUAACUCAUCGAAUCAAAACAAGUUUCAGAGAUUUAAACACCACAAAUAACAUAAUUAUUAUAGGAAAAAUAAGACAUUUUUUGUCUUAUGUUACCUAAGAUAGGAAACAGUUUUCUAAGUAUAAUACAAAACUGUAAUGUUAUAAACAAUACAUAAAUGCAACCACAUAAAAAUCAAAUAUUUCUGUGAGGCAAAAAUGAAAAGCAAACUAAGUGAGAAAAAUUUUUGUAGUUUCUAUCAUGGAAAAAAAAAAUAGUUCCUAAACUGUGAUGAAAUUCUAUCAAUCCAUAAGGAACAAAAUCCAAGAUUCAAAAGAAAUGUGGAUGAGAGACA
RNAcentral lists this long non-coding RNA (10806 nucleotides) under Canis lupus familiaris (dog). RNAcentral's name for it is "lncRNA (ENSCAFG00000053789.1)". Lineage: Eukaryota; Metazoa; Chordata; Mammalia; Carnivora; Canidae. The record is from RNAcentral.